CUUGCUCUAUCACCCAGGCUUGAGUGCAGUGGCAUGAUCUUGGCCCACUGCAACCUCUGCCUCCUGGGUUCAAGUGAUUCUUGUGCCUCAGUCUCCUGAGUAGCUGGAAUUACAGGCAUGCACCACCACACCCAGCUAAUUUUUGUACUUUGGAGACGGGGUUUCAACAUAUUGGCCAGGCUUGUCUCGAACUCCUGACCUUAAGGGAUCCGCCCAACUCUGCCUCCCAAAGUGCAGGGAUUACAGGCGUGAGCCACCGUGCCCAGCCAGUUCCACCUGAUUUUUAAAAUUGCGUUGGCCAGCAUUGGACACACAGUAAAUGUUUAAUACGUACUUUCCACGUUGAAUCAAAGAAGUUUCCCAUCUUAGCUAUUUCCUUGAAACUUUCCUGAAGUUUGAAACCUAACAGAUCAUCAGUGACGUCCUCAUCACAGUUUCACCUCUGCCUAAUAAAGCACAAAUUACUCUUAAGCAAUGAGGCGCUGUGCAAUUGAAGCCUUUUAUAGCUCCAUUUGUCUGCAGUCACCUAAAUGUCAGUGGAUAGAUGUGUUUGUCAUAGUGUGUGAUAAGUGCAAAUAACCCUUGUUAGUAGUGUCAUUAGAGAUGAAAUAGAUGCAUAGGAACUAAGAGGUCAUAAGCUGUCAGAUUUUACUCUAAGGAAAUACAGAAUGUCAUUUGCACCUGAAAUUGUGCAGAAGUAAAUGGACAAUUCUUCACCCCAAUCUAAUUUGUUUUUCAAAAGCUUUGCAUGUUUACAUUUGUAUAUCCACUACCUUAGCCACGGCAUAGUGAAAUAAACCAUAAAUUAAAAAUAGCUCAGCAUACCACUGAAGAAUCAAUAGAUCUGAAUAUAGUAGCAUAGAAAAAGCUUUGGUUUACUGGAUGUGCCUUCAAGGUGGACCAUGCCCUUUAGGUAGAGGAUUAGUGGAGAACAGAAAUCUCUGCCUCUCUGUGGCUAGAAGUGGAUCUAUGUCAUUGACCUACCUACAAUGGCACUUUUCCUUACUUGAAACUUGGGUAUACAGUGACCUCACCUACUCAUAGAACCUGCAGAAGUGGGAAUUAGUAGAAAAAGGCUUUUGAGUAGCCAAAAAGGAUUUGAUAAAGUUAAUAUUCUAAGUUAGCCUGUUCUCUUACCACAUAGUAUGUCUCCUCAGUUCUUGUUUGCUUGAUGCAAAGUUCUGAGGCUUUGUUCUCUGGUAUUUGUUCCCUAAUGAGUGCCACUAUAUUAUAUUUUGAGCUAGUGACAAGGGACUUACCUUGUCCCUGUUCUACAUCCUUCUAGGCUCUAACUUGUUUGAUGAAACAUGAGUACCUCAGAGAUAUACAUGCUGAGAACGGCCUGGAAGAGUUUUAUUGCCCCUCCCCUGCCCAACUCAUUGAAGGAAACAGGAGGGAGUGAACCCGUCUCCUCUGCUGAAUCCAUUGCAGUCCACUUUUUUGUGUUCUAAUGAGUAUAUUAAAAUUGCAGUCUGAAGUCAUUUCAGAGCUCCUAUCCUUUACUACAAGCUGACUUAGGUGGGACUGCUCCAGCAACUUGAGGCUAAGAGGCCCAGGGUCUGACUUCUCUCCCUGCUUCCCUACUCCUGCUCCAUUAAGGGUGAGAGGUUGGGGAAUUUGCUGUCCUCUUUGUGAUGACUUGUUGCUGCCAAUCUGAUUCCUAAUGCUAUAGAUUUAUUAAGGUUAGAUGGUGGAAGAUUGGGCCCUGAUGACAAUGGAGCCAUCCUGGGUGUUCCUCUGACAGUGAUGAGCCUCCUGGGAGAGGCAGCCACAGCUGAAGCACACACCGCUCCCUUCUGCUGUGGCAGCCCCACGAGCCUGCAAACCCCUAUCUCAUCACAGCCUCGGUUCUCAACUCAGGCUGGCCAGACCUCCAACUGGUGGUGGUUGCUAUUUCAGGCCCAGACAUAAUCAAAUCCAUGUGAAGAAAAGAAAUUUCUUCCUGGGUGGCCCUUUGUAAGAGAAAGAAAAUGUCUUCCAGAAGAGUUCUUUAUGUCUUAAUGGCAGCAGUGAGGAUGCCAGAGUCCAUGGGUUUCUAGAAGACAAGUUUUCAACUGCAGAUACAAACAUUAGGACGUCAAUGAAUCUGUUAGGAGACACCUGGACAGUGUUGAGAACACUGAACCUGGAGGCUAAACCCCCAGCUUUCUAUGCCAGCUGAGAGUCUGUGGGCACAUUCCUCAGCGUCUCUGAACCUCGCGCUCCUCCCCUGUGACAUGUAGAUUGUUAAACCCAUCUCACAGGGCUGUCUUCUGCAUUUAAAGAAUAAAAUAACACAUGAGGGGUCUAUCAAU
Long non-coding RNA from Pongo pygmaeus (Bornean orangutan), 2294 nucleotides. RefSeq lists it as uncharacterized. Lineage: Eukaryota; Metazoa; Chordata; Mammalia; Primates; Hominidae. The record is from RefSeq and is a predicted model, not a curated record. The transcript has 3 exons.